This is a long non-coding RNA of Hippocampus zosterae (dwarf seahorse), 2568 nucleotides long. RefSeq lists it as uncharacterized. NCBI's taxonomy places the organism in Eukaryota, Metazoa, Chordata, Actinopteri, Syngnathiformes, Syngnathidae. The transcript has 3 exons. The record is from RefSeq and is a predicted model, not a curated record.
GUUACUGUGUUAUGACUGGACCACAUAAGUAGGAAAAAAGAAUGUGCAUGAAUACUGUUUUAAAUAUUACAAUAAUCAUCAGUAAAAUGAUGUGUCAUUCAACCUCAUACUUCAUAGUCAAGAUGAUCGCUGACCUUAAUUACUGUAUAUCUUUUGUGUUUUUGUCUUCCAAAUUUCAAAUAUUUUCCUUGUGUUUUUAUACCACGUCUGACAUUCUUACAAUGAGUGCCCAUAGGAUGUCAUUGCAUUUCACCACCAAACCUACAAACUACAUUUGUGGCCCAUGACAUUGCCAAACACAAAUACCCUCUACCGCAAAGUUGACCACUUAGUAUCUGCGAGUGAUCAGACGCCAACAUUAACAGUGUUAGCUAAAAUGAAUACAGUAUGUGCAAAUACUGCAGUCCCGCUUACCUUUUAUUUUGGAUGUACUUGUGAUUCAGCCAUUGCUUGAAAGUGGCUCUUUCGCUCAGGAACUCCAGCUACCAAAUCAUUGGCUGAGAAACUCAGUGUGGCGUAAGGUCAUUUUCCUCAAGGAAACGCAUUAAAAAAAAAGCUUUUUAAUGCAUACUGUGUAGAUUUUUUCAACGCCACCUAGUGGCAAACUAAUAGAAUGCAACGACUUCAGUUCAACUCGUGCGCAUUUUGAAACACGUGCAUGACAGUGCCUCAGAGAGAAUAUGCAAUAUCUUUGCAAGAUUACCACCGAUUUCUUUAGCAGAGGUUCAAGCAAAAUGUCAUCACAAAUGACGCCUGGUUAGUAUUCCCUCAAACAGCAAAUUAUGUAUAAUACUUUUGUUACACACGCUGGUAGUCAUUGAUCCAGAGUAUUUGUGAGUGGCUGGUGUCUCUUUUGGAUAUCUGUAGGAGGAAGAUGGUGGCAAAACAUGUCAGAGUCCUGUAAGGUGAGGUACGACCCAUCUCUACUAAUUAGUGAUUACUCGACCUACGAUUAUAUUCAUUCAUUCAUCUUCCGAACCGCUUGAUCCUCACUAGGGUCGCGGGGGGUGCUGGAGCCUAUCCCAGCUGUCUCCGGGCAGUAGGCGGAGGACACCCUGAAUCAGUUGCAAGCCAAUCACAGAGCACACAGAGACGAACAACCAUCCACGCUCACACUCACACCUAGGGACAAUUUAGAGUGUUCAAUCAGCCUGCCACGCAUGUUUUUGGAAUGUGGGAGGAAACCGGAGGACCCGGCGAAAACCCACGCAGGCCCGGGGAGAACAUGCAAACUCCACACAGGGAGGCCGGAGCUGGAAUCGAACCCGGUACCUCUGCACUGUGAAGCCGACGUGCUAACCACUGGACUACCGGGCCGCCCACGAUUAUAUAUAUAUUUUUAAAAGUAUGUUGACCUGUGUAAUAGAUUUUUUUUGCAUGUUAUUGAAAUUAAUAAUGUUUUUUAAAAUGAACAUUGAAAGAUCAAAAUAAAUCAACACAUUGUGCGUUUAAAUAAAUAAAACUAUACCUUGCAUUUAUAAAACUAACAAAAAUGUCCUUUUUUGUAGGUUAAUAUGCAAGAGCUUUCUGCGUUUCUUUUAAAUGUAUUUGUCUCAGUAUUAGUGCAAAUCCGUACAGAAGGAAAGACAAAAAAUUAUUUGAGAAUUGUAGUUUACUAUACUACACAAUACUUAGUGACUUAAAAAAUAUUUUAGAUUUGCACUAAAAAUGCCAUAUAAUAAAAUACUAAAACCAAUAAAAAUGAAAUAAACAAAUCCAUUUUGAAAAAAAAUAAACUUGCUGUAACUAACUAAAAGUAACUGAGUUUGAAAAUCAAAAGUCAAAAGUUAACUAAUGAAAAAUUCAAAAUUAAAGUACGGUAACCCUGGCGUGACUGUAUUAUUUUACACCGUUACGUAACAAUAGAGCAGGAAUGCCGAACGAUUUGCUCACAGGCACAUUUUCUGAACCAAGCAUGUUCUUAAAAAUUGACAGAGAUAUUUAAUUUCAGACUUGAUGGUUAGGCUGGCACUCAAGAGCCUCAUCUAUUUGCAUAAAAGCCAUUAAAAUAAAAGUUUGACUUCCAUACGACUGUGCACCUCAAUUUAUCGCAGAGGCUACGUCACAGACGCAUACACUUUAAAUACAUUUUAAUUCAUGCAAACACACCAAAAGGCCCUGCAGAGUGGAAUCAGAUUUUUUUUUCAAUACAUACAUGUUUGGAAAUAAUUGCUGAAAACAUGCACAGACUGCCAACUAUGUAGAGAUCAAGGACAAGAGUCGCCCCUCGCCUACUGUAUAAACGAAUUGAGAGUCUUCAUUCACAUCAGCAGUUAUCUGGAGCACUGUUGACACACAAUUAGCUAGCGAGAUAUGCCUACAUCCCAAAUUCCUAAUAGGUGGCUGCUCUCAAGUGUGUACUGUUUGGCUGUGAGUGUUCACAUGUUAUGUAGCAAAGGUGAAAGAUAAGAAAAUGUUUUAAAAAAUCAAACGUGAUAUUCAACGUGUGCCCUGGGGCUUUGCGCUGGUGUGACUGCGUGACUUCUUUUUGUGUUUUUAAUCAUUCAAAUUUGGCAAGGUUACCAUCAACAUUCUUAUCUAUCUGUGGUGUGUGAAAUUUAGAUUUAU